Molecule: long non-coding RNA, 2395 nt
Organism: Helianthus annuus (common sunflower)
Lineage: Eukaryota; Viridiplantae; Streptophyta; Magnoliopsida; Asterales; Asteraceae
Exons: 4
Source: RefSeq, a predicted model, not a curated record
CACUCUAAACAGGAGCAUGAAUGUUUAGUAGAAGGCCCUUUAAACAACUUAAAGUAUGGUAUGGUGGAGUUUUAGAAGCUUAUAAAUGUAUUCAGUAUGUCAUGUUUUAUGUGUAAGGUACUUUAACAUGAUAGUGGCAUUGUUUGCUGACUCAUGCCAUAUUUGCCUUCACAAUUGCAACUGUAAUCUUGCUUGCGUGAUGUGUGCCCUAAUGUUAGUUCCUACAAGUCUACAACUUAUCUUUUCUCAUGUAUCGUAGACAAAGAAAGAAGGAGAAUCGACAAGGAAAAACAGACGGUCGGCGAGAUUCUGACUUAUUUCAACAAUUCCUAUUCAACACUUUUUUAUGUCGAUGAAGGUUCAAAGAUGAUGAUUAGUGGUCGGCCACGGGGUUCGUUCCAGUGAGGUUCCGGUGAUCUAUUCAGCGCGUCAUCAUCACCAUUUAACAUUACCGGAGACGGCGAUCUCUAUGAAGGUGUUUAUUUAGCCGAUUUUGCGACGGUGGUAGUUUAAUCGAGACCCCUUAAGCGACGCAUAAGAGGAAUCGAGGUCAGUUGACGGUGAUUGUGAGGAUGUUUGAAGGGAAUACUUACAGGUGAUGGUGUUGUAAAGGGAUUCGGGAGAAUUCUGGUGAACCAAGUUAAGGUUCUGACUUAUUUUAACAGUUCCUAUUCAACACCUUUUUAUGUUGAUGAAGGUUCAAAGAAAAUGAUUGGCGGUCGGCUAUGGGGUUUGUUCCAGUGAGGCUUUGUGGGUUAGAAGUAGUCAUAACCCAAACCCUAUGGUAUAUGGAUGAACAUUAGAAGUUGUCGAUACUGCUAAGUUAACGAUGAGAACUUGGGUAAUUCUUUGUGACUGGAACCGAUUCCGGUGAAUGCUCCAGUAACUUAUAACAAUGCUCCAGAAGUUAUUCAAGGACAUUUGGAAACGACGCAUAAGGCUUUACGGUCAUAGAGGAAUCGAGGUCAGUUGUCGAUGAUUGUGAGGAUGUUUGAUGGGAAUACUUACAGGUGAUAGUGUUGUAAAGGGAUUCGGGAGAAUUCUGGUGAACCAAUUUAAGGUUCUGACUUAUUUCAGCAGUUCUUAUUCAACACCUUUUUAUGUCGAUGAAGGUCCGAAGAAAAUGAUUGGCGGUCAGCUACGGGGUUCGUUCCUGUGAGGCUUUGUGGGUUAGAAGUAGUCAGAACCCAAACCCUAUGGUAUAUGGAUGCAUUAGAAGUUGUCGAUAUUGCUAAGUUAACGAUGAGAACUUGGGUAAUUCUUGGUGACUAAACCGAUUCCGGUGAAUGCUCAAAUAGCUUAUAGCGAUGCUCCAGAAGUUACUCAAGGACAUUUGGAAACGACAACUAGACACAAGACUGUUGGAUAGAACGUAAUGUCAAUGAAUUGAACUGCACUUAAAAGAAAAAAAGGUGAAAGGGGAGGGAUUGGUGGUUUGUGAAAGGGGUCACCUAAUUUUAGCAGGUACCCACCAAUGAUUACAUGAUUACUGGUCAUAGUCUUAAUUUGGAUUAGAUAGUCAUAUUGAUGAUUUUGGAAUGUGAUAAUUUGGUGGCGCACAUCUGACUGGUAAGAUUUGGGCUUUAUAAUUUUAUAAGAUAAUCCAUCAAGCUUUUUCUUCAAGAUAUAUUACAUAUGUAGUAUAAAUAACAUGUUUAAGUUGGUAGGUUAUUUUAGGUAGUUGUUAUUUUCAUCAACGGACUCGAACAUACCCAUUGAUUAAAGCUUUUUUUAUAGUCUAAAAAAUUGUAAAUAUAAAGAUUUUAAGCAAUUUGCAAGAUAUAUCUUUGUUGCAGUUUCAUUAAAAUAGUUUAGACACUUUCUUAUUCAUUAACUUUGGUUUCUUAAAGUUGCUUGCUCAUAAGUGCAGUUUGUAGUCAUUGUUUAUUAUCAUACUGAUAAAAAAAAUGUUAAUUUCAUAACUCUAAUUCACUACAGAAUGUUAUAGAGAUUCUCUUAGAUAUUUUGUGUAAUUUUGUAUCAAAUUUAUAUUUUAUGGAUUUUUUUUUGUCCAAAGCAUAUGCACUACUUUAUCUAGGCCCUUUUGAUGCGGAAGCACAAAAGAAAAUCGAAGGUGUUACGUAGUAUAUGGCAAGUGUGUGACUAUAUGUUUUCUCUAACUAUCGAAAGUUAUACAUACACACAUAUAUUUAUACAUAUAUAUCACUCAGGCACAUUAGUUUUCACCACGUUAUUAUAUUUUGUUGUGAAAUAUAGUUAAUUGGAUUUUGAGUUGGUGCUUAUUGUUUUACAUAAAUGUAUUAAUGAGAACUGAGCUACUGCACUCGAAAACAACCCCUAAGGGUUUUUCAAAAGUUGUUUGUUAUAGUAGAUAACCAGUACUUUUACACAUCCAAAGUUAAGUUAUUGUAAAUAGUUGCUUUCUCGAUCUAAU